Molecule: ribosomal RNA, 325 nt
Filed under: uncultured eukaryote
Lineage: Eukaryota
Description: partial 18S ribosomal RNA
Rfam family: Eukaryotic small subunit ribosomal RNA
Source: RNAcentral
CCCUUAGAUGUUCUGGGCUGCACGCGCGCUACACUGAUACCUUCAGCGAGUCCACCACCUUGCCUGGGAGGGUGGGGUAACCUCUGGAAAGUGCAUCGUGAUGGGGAUCGAUUAUUGUAAUUAUUAAUCUUCAACGAGGAAUUCCUAGUAAGCAUGUGUCAUCAGCCCGUGCUGAUUACGUCCCUGCCCUUUGUACACACCGCCCGUCGCUCCUACCGAUUGAAUGCUCAGGUGAGCCAUUCGGACUUUCAUCAUGCUGGUUUCCAGUUUUGAUGAAGGAAAGUCUUGCGAACCUUAUCAUUUAGAGGAAGGAGAAGUCGUAACA